Molecule: transfer RNA, 86 nt
Filed under: Amazonocrinis nigriterrae CENA67
Lineage: Bacteria; Bacillati; Cyanobacteriota; Cyanophyceae; Nostocales; Nostocaceae
Rfam family: tRNA
About the family: Transfer RNA (tRNA) molecules are approximately 80 nucleotides in length. Their secondary structure includes four short double-helical elements and three loops (D, anti-codon, and T loops).
Source: Rfam by way of RNAcentral
GGAGGGAUGGCUGAGUGGCUUAAGGCACUCCCCUGCUAAGGGAGAGCGGUUAACGACCGUCGAGGGUUCAAAUCCCUCUCUCUCCG